RNAcentral lists this ribosomal RNA (484 nucleotides) under uncultured bacterium. RNAcentral's name for it is "partial 16S ribosomal RNA". It matches the Rfam family "Bacterial small subunit ribosomal RNA", at positions 30 to 507 of the family's 1533-position model. The record is from RNAcentral.
AUUGAACGCUGGCGGCAGGCCUAACACAUGCAAGUCGAGCGGAUGAAGGGAGCUUGCUCCUGGAUUCAGCGGCGGACGGGUGAGUAAUGCCUAGGAAUCUGCCUGGUAGUGGGGGAUAACGUCCGUAAACGGGCGCUAAUACCGCAUACGUCCUGAGGGAGAAAGUGGGGGAUCUUCGGACCUCACGCUAUCAGAUGAGCCUAGGUCGGAUUAGCUAGUUGGUGGGGUAAAGGCCUACCAAGGCGACGAUCCGUAACUGGUCUGAGAGGAUGAUCAGUCACACUGGAACUGAGACACGGUCCAGACUCCUACGGGAGGCAGCAGUGGGGAAUAUUGGACAAUGGGCGAAAGCCUGAUCCAGCCAUGCCGCGUGUGUGCAGAAGGUCUUCGGAUUGUAAAGCACUUUAAGUUGGGAGGAAGGGCAGUAAGUUAAUACCUUGCUGUUUUGACGUUACCAACAGAAUAAGCACCGGCUAACUUCGUG